This 460-nucleotide ribosomal RNA is filed under the name uncultured bacterium. RNAcentral's name for it is "partial 16S ribosomal RNA". It matches the Rfam family "Bacterial small subunit ribosomal RNA", at positions 338 to 795 of the family's 1533-position model. The record is from RNAcentral.
CCUACGGGAGGCAGCAGUGAGGGAUAUUGGUCAAUGGACGAAAGUCUGAACCAGCCAAGUAGCGUGAAGGAUGACUGCCCUAUGGGUUGUAAACUUCUUUUAUAUGGGAAUAAAAUAUUCCACGUGUGGGAUUUUGUAUGUACCAUAUGAAUAAGGAUCGGCUAACUCCGUGCCAGCAGCCGCGGUAAUACGGAGUAUCCGAGCGUUAUCCGGAUUUAUUGGGUUUAAAGGGCGCGUAGGUGGAUUGUUAAGUCAGUUGUGAAAGUUUGCGGCUCAACCGUAAAAUUGCAGUUGAAACUGGCAGUCUUGAGUACAGGAGAGGUGGGCGGAAUUCGUGGUGUAGCGGUGAAAUGCGUAGAUAUCACGAAGAACUCCGAUGGCGAAGGCAGUCCACUGGACUGCAACUGACAUUGAGGCUCGAAAGUGUGGGGAUCAAACAGGAUUAGAUACCCUAGUAGUC